This 301-nucleotide ribosomal RNA is filed under the name uncultured bacterium. RNAcentral describes it as "partial 16S ribosomal RNA". It matches the Rfam family "Bacterial small subunit ribosomal RNA", at positions 509 to 808 of the family's 1533-position model. The record is from RNAcentral.
CAGUCGCCACGGUAAUACGUAGGGUGCGAGCGUUAAUCGGAUUUACUGGGCGUAAAGCGUGCGCAGGCGGCCCGUUAAGGCAGGUGUGAAAUCCCUGGGCUCAACCUAGGAAUUGCGCUUGUGACUGGCGGGCUCGAGUACGGUAGAGGGGGGUGGAAUUCCUGGUGUAGCAGUGAAAUGCGUAGAGAUCAGGAGGAACACCGAUGCGAAGGCAGCCCCCUGGGCCUGUACUGACGCUCAUGCACGAAAGCGUGGGGAGCAAACAGGAUUAGAUACCCGCGUAGUCCCUGUCUCUUAUACA